GACGAACGCUGGCGGCGUGCCUAAUACAUGCAAGUCGAACGAACUCUGGUUUUUGAUUGACGGUGCUUGCACCUGAUUGAUUAAACAUUUGAGUGAGUGGCGAACUGGUGAGUAACACGUAGGAAACCUGCCCAGAAGCGGGGGGAUAACACCUGGAAACAGAUGCUAAUACCGCAUAACAACUUGAACCGCAUGGUUCGAGUUUGAAAGAUGGCUCUGCUAUCACUUCUGGAUGGUCCUGCGGCGUAUUAGCUAGAUGGUGAGGUAACGGCUAACCAUGGAAAUGAUACGUAGCCGACCUGAGAGGGUAAUCGGCCACAUUGGGACUGAGACACGGCCCAAACUCCUACGGGAGGCAGCAGUAGGGAAUCUUCCACAAUGGACGAAAGUCUGAUGGAGCAACGCCGCGUGAGUGAAGAAGGGUUUCGGCUCGUAAAACUCUGUUGUUAGAGAAGAACAUAUCUGAGAGUAACUGUUCAGGUAUUGACGGUAUCUAACCAGAAAGCCACGGCUAACUACGUGCCAGCAGCCGCCGUAA
This 538-nucleotide ribosomal RNA is filed under the name uncultured bacterium. RNAcentral describes it as "partial 16S ribosomal RNA". It matches the Rfam family "Bacterial small subunit ribosomal RNA", at positions 28 to 523 of the family's 1533-position model. The record is from RNAcentral.